ACUUUCGGCCAUACCACCCUGAGCACGCCCGAUCUCGUCUGAUCUCGGAAGUUAAGUAGGAUUGGGCUUGGUUAGUACUUGGAUGAGAGACCGCUUGGGAAUACCAGGUGCUGUAAGCU
Molecule: ribosomal RNA, 119 nt
Organism: Oreochromis aureus
Lineage: Eukaryota; Metazoa; Chordata; Actinopteri; Cichliformes; Cichlidae
Source: Ensembl